This 269-nucleotide long non-coding RNA is filed under the name Elaeis guineensis (African oil palm). RNAcentral describes it as "long non-coding RNA (EGUI_LNC011250)". Lineage: Eukaryota; Viridiplantae; Streptophyta; Magnoliopsida; Arecales; Arecaceae. The record is from RNAcentral.
CGUCCCAAGAAGAUGGACCUACCUUGUGUUACGCUACCUACAAACACUACUCCUACUUCAUUAGGAUAGUAUGUUCCUAUUUACUUUGCCAGUAUAUUCCUUGGAAAAGCCGGGCCCCAACCCUUACGAUAAUGCAAUAGCUUAGCUCCCAUUGGCCAUCCUUUGGCAAGUACGCUUUUGUUGUCGGACCUCUUAAUUAAGUGGAAAAAGGCCAUGCAUGGAGGCCGUUACAUGGGAACUUCUGCAGUGGUAUGCUCUUAAGAUAUUCA